Aegilops tauschii subsp. strangulata is the source of this 381-nucleotide non-coding RNA. The record is from RefSeq and is a predicted model, not a curated record. Lineage: Eukaryota; Viridiplantae; Streptophyta; Magnoliopsida; Poales; Poaceae.
UGAUUUAGUCCCAGGCCAAUCACAGCUCGACAAUUGGCAGCCAGGUGGCUGGACCGGUGUUCCCUAUCAUGAUCUGAGCUCAGCAAACAACUCAACCGGUCCCAUGUUCGAUCGUUAUAGUAGCGGCCCGGGUGGUUUGUUCACACAGAACAAGAUGAGGAGGUGUAACCCUGUGGCUUUCGGCAUGACACCGGUUGUCAAGGUCUAGAAUGUUUGUCUGAAUGCCUGCGCUCCACAGCCAACCCACUGCACCAGAUGCUGAUGGUCGUUGAGUUUGGAUCUUCACCGUUCGAUGUUGGCAUGGGACAUGAGGAGAGCGACGACGAGUUGUCAUUAGUCUUCUAUGAAGCUGUGCAGCAGUGCGGAGACAAGAAGGAACUC